Molecule: long non-coding RNA, 491 nt
Organism: Zonotrichia leucophrys gambelii
Lineage: Eukaryota; Metazoa; Chordata; Aves; Passeriformes; Passerellidae
Exons: 4
Source: RefSeq, a predicted model, not a curated record
GACUCUGAAUUUAUUUCUUUCACUUUUGGGGGUUUUUUUUCUCUUUCCUGCUAGGGAUAUGUGCUGCUUUAGAACUUAAAAUCAGGGUGCUGAGCUGUGCCUGUGGGAAUGCACACUGAGUGGUGAGCUCUGCUGGGUCUGAUGGUACCACAAAACAGACACAUCAAGGACACAAAGUCCUUUCUCUGCUGCCAAGCUGCUGUGUCAGGCUGAAAGCCUCAGCACCUCAGUUUCAGGUGGAAUAUUCAGGUGCCAUUCUGUAUUUCAGUGCAGCUGCUUUCAUUAGUGUUUAGAACAAUCCUGGAAUGCUCCUGGCAGUCGAGUUCCCUGUUCCACUGGUGCAGCUGCUCAGUUACACGCCUGCUGCCCAUGUAAAUUUUCUUCAUGAAUCAAAAAGUAGCAAGAGAUGAAGAACUGUUGGAAGUAUUGAGCUAACCAAGCAUGCUCGAGGGAAUGAGGAGACCAUUAAAAGGUAACAUUGGAAAAGCUUU